Molecule: ribosomal RNA, 254 nt
Filed under: uncultured bacterium
Lineage: Bacteria
Description: partial 16S ribosomal RNA
Rfam family: Bacterial small subunit ribosomal RNA
Source: RNAcentral
UACGUAGGGUCCAAGCGUUAUCCGGAAUCACUGGGCGUAAAGCGUGCGUAGGCGGUCCGUUUAGUGCAAUGCGAAAUCUCGUGGCUCAACCAUGUAGACUGUAUUGCAUACUGGCGGACUGGAGGAUGGCAGAGGCUAGUGGAAUUACUGGUGUAGCAGUGAAAUGCGUAGAUAUCAGUAGGAACACCAAUGGCGAAGGCAGCUAGCUGGGCCAUUUCUGACGCUAAGGCACGAAAGCGUGGGGAGCGAACAGG